CUCUGUGAAAUCUAUUCAGGUAGAGCUUUGAUGUAGUCUUCAGUUGAAGGCAGAGCACUGGCUAAAGACAGCUGAGUCGUGAGGUGAAGUAUGAUAUUCACUCUCAACUAAACUCCGAAUGUCAGCUGAAGCAUAGCAGACAGACUACGGGUGUCAACAUCAGCCGCCAAGAGGGAAACAACCCAGAUCGCAGUUUAAGGUGCCCAAGUCGUAGUUACGUGUAGAAGGUCGUGCAAAGCCAAGACAGCCGGGAGGUUGGUUUACAAGCAGCUCAUUGAAAGGAAAGCGUAACAUCUAAAUGCGCUUGCUUGCGCCGAAGAUGUAAUGGGGCUCACGCCUUCAAGCUGCACGCAAGACGCGAGUUUGUGUUCCGCCGAAGAAAGUAUUGGAG
Molecule: non-coding RNA, 391 nt
Filed under: Symbiodinium microadriaticum
Lineage: Eukaryota; Dinophyceae; Suessiales; Symbiodiniaceae
Description: Bacterial large subunit ribosomal RNA
Rfam family: Bacterial large subunit ribosomal RNA
Source: Rfam by way of RNAcentral